This 318-nucleotide ribosomal RNA is filed under the name Triticum aestivum (bread wheat). RNAcentral describes it as "partial small subunit ribosomal RNA". The record is from RNAcentral. Lineage: Eukaryota; Viridiplantae; Streptophyta; Magnoliopsida; Poales; Poaceae.
AUGAGUCGACCUGAUUGGAUCAACAUCCUCGACGGCAAGUUCUACCUUGGAGAUGCUGGCUAUGCAUGUCGGCCGGGUAUUCUUUCGCCCUUCAGGAAAACAAGGUACCAUCUCAACGAGUUCUCUGGUAGGAACUAUCCUAGGACUGCACAGGAGCUGUUUAAUCUCAGACACUCCAGCCUUAGAGUAACUGUUGAGAGGGCAUUUGAAGCUCUGAAGAAUAGGUUUAAGAUCCUGGAUCAGAAGCCAUUCCACCCAUACCCCACUCAGGUUAAGCUAGUUCUUGCUUAUUGCAUUCUGCAUAACUGGAUCCUCUAG